AGGGAUGUAGCUCAGUAGUAGAGUGCCUGGUUACCAUAUUGAAGGCCUUGGGUUCAAUCCCCAAUACUCUUU
RNAcentral lists this transfer RNA (72 nucleotides) under Cavia porcellus (domestic guinea pig). It matches the Rfam family "tRNA". Rfam says of the family: Transfer RNA (tRNA) molecules are approximately 80 nucleotides in length. Their secondary structure includes four short double-helical elements and three loops (D, anti-codon, and T loops). The record is from Rfam by way of RNAcentral. Lineage: Eukaryota; Metazoa; Chordata; Mammalia; Rodentia; Caviidae.